Cavia porcellus (domestic guinea pig) is the source of this 335-nucleotide unclassified non-coding RNA. Its record names the gene 7SK. It matches the Rfam family "7SK RNA". From Rfam's summary of the family: 7SK was discovered as an abundant small nuclear RNA in the mid-70s but a possible function has only recently been suggested. Two independent studies have found that 7SK RNA binds the CDK9/cyclin T complex (known as elongation factor P-TEFb). NCBI's taxonomy places the organism in Eukaryota, Metazoa, Chordata, Mammalia, Rodentia, Caviidae. The record is from Ensembl.
GGAUGUGAGGACAAUCUGGCUAUGACAUCUGUCACUCCAUUGAUCGCCAGGGUUGAUUUGGCUGAUUUGACUGGCUAUGCAGGAGUGCCCUUCCUCCCUCAAUGAUCCAUGUGCUUCCCUUUUGAAGCUGUGCACUCCAUGGAAGUGGAAGACCACCCACAGUAGAAGAGGACUGUUGCUCAGUCUAGGGUAUAUGAGUAGCUGUGCUCCCCUGCUAGAACUUCAAAUCAGGGAUUGUGAUGUAUCCUGUCUUGCCUUUCUUGCCCAGGAUUGCCUGUGCUAUUCUAGAUCUCUCUUGUUUCCAAAUAAAUUUUAGGGAUGAUUUCUCUAGAUAU